GUUGAAGGAGUCCGACACCAGCGCGAUGGAGUUGCCCAUGUAUCCCGCCACGAUCUCCGCCACGAAAAAGAUCACGGUGAUGACGAGCAUCAGAAUCAGCCGACACGUUUUGCCGCUGUACCGUCCCAUGCUCGCGCGUCGGUGUGAUCUGUGGAAACUCAAACCCCACAGGAGGAUCUGACACUGAAAACACACUGGGACCUUCAACACCAGGAAAAGGUUUUAAACUACACCAGCAUUGUUCUGUUUUACAGUGUACGUGUGCAGGGCUUGAAUGACAGUGACUGUAACCUGAAACUGUUGUGUCACCUGAAGUUAGCUGAUUGUGUAAAUCUGCCUGUCUCUGAUCUUUAAAGGGGUCAUGAGGAAUCACAUUUUCCUUCAUAUUUUGACAUGUAAGUGUUCAUUGAAUCAUAAAAACAUUCUGUAAGUUUCAGAA
Molecule: long non-coding RNA, 439 nt
Organism: Myxocyprinus asiaticus (Chinese sucker)
Lineage: Eukaryota; Metazoa; Chordata; Actinopteri; Cypriniformes; Catostomidae
Exons: 3
Source: RefSeq, a predicted model, not a curated record